Non-coding RNA from Nothobranchius furzeri (turquoise killifish), 2789 nucleotides. The record is from RefSeq and is a predicted model, not a curated record. NCBI's taxonomy places the organism in Eukaryota, Metazoa, Chordata, Actinopteri, Cyprinodontiformes, Nothobranchiidae.
ACUCGAGUCACAUGACUUGGACUCGAGCCGUUAUUUUAAUGACUUCUGACUUGAUAAAAUCUAUAAAGACUUACAACUUGACUCGGACUUGAACGCCAGUGACUUGCGACUUGAUUCGACUUGCACGUGUUGACUUGAUGACUUGAGCAUAUUUGAUAUUUUAGCACCAAAGUGUCACGACAUGGACAAAAAUCAUGAAUCAUUCUUCAUCCUGGGUUUGAUCUUUAUAAACAGUUUCAGUUACACGUUCUGCUGUUUGAGCAAAUAAAAGACGCUUUAUUUCUGGAUUUUAUUUAUCAUCAUUGUCAUUAAUUUGAAGUUGGACAGAUGACUUGAAAAUUCAAAGUUAAGGACUUGGACUUGGUUGUCUUUGACUUGGACUUGACUCGAGACAUGACUGGAAAGACUUGUGACUUACUUGUGGGCAGAGAAUCAUAGGGCAGCAGUAGCUCAACAGGUUGAGCGGGUAGUCCAGUAAUCAAGGUUGCAGGUUCGAUUCCAGCUCCGGACAGAGAACUAUGCUGUUGUGUCCUUGGGCAAGACACUUAACCCACGUUGCCUGCUGGUGGUGGUCGGAGGGACUGGUGGUGCCAGUGCUCGGCAGCCUUGCCUCUGUCAGUGCGCCCCAGGGCAGCUGUGGCUACAUCGUAGCUCAUCACCAUCAGUGUGUGAAUGUGUGUGUGAAUGGGUGAAUGAUAGUGUAAAGCGCUUUGGAGUCCUUCCUCUGAGAGGCGCUAUACAAGUGCGGGUCAUUUAUCAUUUGUGACUUGCAAAGCAGCGACUUGGUCACACCUCUGGAACCUCCCCACCCCAGUUGCCUAGGAGAUACGUCAUCAGGAACCACCAUGGCGUGGUCCAGUGUUCAUGUUCUACUGAGGCAUGUGCUCUCCGUUUGUUAACCGUUUAUGGCGUUACUGCAUGUAUGGAUGACGUGAAGGGCUGGCUGGCAUCCAACUUCUUAAAACUGAAUGAAAAGAAGUCUGAGUUUAUUGUUUUUGACCCCCGCAACCACCAUGGCUCUCACCCUGUUUGUGACCUUUUAACCCUUAACCCCAAACAGUGUGCGACGAGUCUCGGGGUCAAGCUGGAUGCUGGACUCACAAUGGCCCCACAGAUAAACUCUGUAGUGAGGUCUUGUUUUUAUCAGCUUCGCCGCCUUACUCACCUCAGACGAAUCCUGAAACGGAGGCAUUUGGAGUCAGUCAUUCAUGCAUUCAUUACCUCUCGCCUGGACUAUGCAAACGCCCUCCUCGUUGGUGUUCCGGACUCUGCCCUGAAUCGGCUGCAGGUUGUUCAGAACGCUGCUGCCAGGUUCUUGACGGGUACACACCGACGUAGCCACAUUAUCCCUGUCCUGGCACGUCUUCACUGGCUCCCUGUCAUUUUCAGAGUCCAGUUUAAGUUACUGACUUUUGUUUUUAAAGCACUCAAAGACCUGGCACCUCCCUACCUCUCUGCCCUUCUCACUCCAUAUGUGCCCACCCGCUCGUUGAGGUCGGCUGACCUUUUGCUGCUGUACACGCCGCGGAUGAGACUCAAAUCGCGGGGGGAUUGAGCAUUUGUGCAUGCUGCCCCAAAGCUAUGGAACUCAUUGCCCAUUAGAGUUCGGCGGGCUCCGUCUCUGGCGGUUUUUAAAUCUCGUUUAAAGACCCACUUUUACACUUGGCUUUUAGACAGUGACUCGUUUUAGUGUUUUAUUGUGUCAUUGUUUUAAUGUGUUCUUAUUAUUCAUGUUUUAUCUGCUUUUAAUUGAGAUUUUUAUCCUUUGUUUUAGCUCCUUGUAAUGGGUGAGUUUUGUUUUAGCCUGUGCAGCACUUUGGGCAGCUCCCAUGCUGCAUUUUAAAUGUGCUAUAUAAAUAAACUAUGCUAUGCUAUGCUUACACGUUAGCGUCGGUUCGGUCCCUUACGGCCCCAGAAAUUGUUUUCACACAGGUCAGAUUUGUGUUUUUGGUUCUUUCCGACCUCCCCAGCGGUCAGACUGGGACCGAGGUGACACUAUGGACUGAUUGGCGAGCUGAAAUUACACCUACCCCCUCCGAUCUGCGAUGAGCAGCCGGGGAACAGAACAAUGCUUGUUGGCGUCAUUGUGCAUUAUGGACGAAUCCGGGCAGCACUAGUUUCCUCAUCUGUAUUUACUCGGCCAGUGCAGGAAGUGGGGUAGAAGACGAUCUUCAUGUUCAGCUUUCAUGCUAAACCCUGGGGCGCACUGACAGAGGCGUGGCCUAUCUCAAACAGGCGCCACCGGACCCUCUGACCACCAUCAGCAGGCAAGGGGGUUAAGUGUCUUGCCCAAGGACACAGCGACAGACUGAGCGGGGCUCGAACCUGCGACCUUCCGAUUACAUGGAGAGCAAUUAGCUCCUGUGCCACCGUCCGCAGACAUCCACGCUCGGGAACCAUUUGGUGGUUUACACACUAGCAUCGGCUCCGCCCCCGCCUGGCCGCACUCAUGCCACACUGGCUUAGGAAUGCGGACGGGAUUCAGAACAUGGGUGUUCAAUAAAAUUAGCGUGAAAAAUAGAUAUCAGUGAUGUCGUGUGCACGUGGGCGCGGCAAAAGAACGCAGAGAAGUCCGUGGUAUAAAACUAAAGCGGCCUGCUUUUGGAGACUCCGACACUAAUCCUGCGUUGCUGUGUGUGGCCACGGCACCUCGGGAAGAGGACCGGCAGAACGUCCGGUUGCAGGCGGGAAAGUCCCGAGAACACUCCCAACCCGGUGCAGGCGGAGUGGAGCCGAUGCUGGACCUCUGCUCUCCAGCAGGUGGCAGUGGGAGGAAGGAUGACCUCAAA